GCAAGUCGAACGGUAACAGGAGAAAGCUUGCUUUCUUGCUGACGAGUGGCGGACGGGUGCGUAACGCGUGGGAAUCAACCCUAAAGCGGAGGACAACUCGAGGAAACUCGAGCUAAUACUGCAUACUCUCUACGGAGAAAAGAGGGCCUCUAUUUAUAAGCUCUCACUUUAGGAUGAGCCCGCGUUGGAUUAGCUUGUUGGUGAGGUAAAGGCUCACCAAGGCGACGAUCCAUAGCUGGUCUGAGAAGACGAAC
Molecule: ribosomal RNA, 254 nt
Filed under: uncultured bacterium
Lineage: Bacteria
Description: partial 16S ribosomal RNA
Rfam family: Bacterial small subunit ribosomal RNA
Source: RNAcentral